AGCUCCAAUAGCGUAUAUUAAAGUUGCUGCAGUUAAAAAGCUCGUAGUUGCAUUUCCGAGGCAAGGGAUUAGUCCGACCUUUGGUGGGUAUUUAAUCCUCUUGCCUCGUCCUUGAGUGGUGCUUCUUGGUAUUAAGUUAUCGAGGAGAUAGCCGCUCAUCGUUUACUGUGAGAAAAUUAGAGUGUUCAAAGCAGGCUUAUGCCGUUGAAUAUAUUAGCAUGGAAUAAUAAGAUAGGACCUCGGUACUAUUUUGGUGGUUUGAGAACCAAGGUAAUUAUGAAUAGGGACAGUUGGGGGUAUUCGUAUUCAGUUGUCAGAGGUGAAAUUCUUAGAUUUACGGAAGACGAACUACUGCGAAAGCAUUUACCAAGGAUGUUUUCA
RNAcentral lists this ribosomal RNA (381 nucleotides) under uncultured marine Chaetocerotaceae. RNAcentral's name for it is "SSU rRNA". It matches the Rfam family "Eukaryotic small subunit ribosomal RNA", at positions 587 to 972 of the family's 1831-position model. Lineage: Eukaryota; Bacillariophyta; Thalassiosirophyceae; Chaetocerotales; Chaetocerotaceae. The record is from RNAcentral.